UUAAAUGUUUAGAAUACUUUCUACUAAUACAUUCCUUACCAGUCUAGAAAGUUCUUGCAAUGGAGUAUCUCCUCUAAAGCUUGCCAUUAGCAUUGAUAUAAGGAAGGGAAAGAGAUAAACAUCUGAGAAGAAAGCUAUAAGACAGUGUAUUGAGACAGUCUAGAAACAGGUAUGAGAUCAAAGUAAAUUGCAACAAUUCAUCUUCUGCUUGUUAAAUUUAUGUGAAGAACUUAAAAAGAAAAUUGCAAACUUUUCUUUCAGCCUAUAAAGCUGUAAGUUCAGAAGAUAAGAAAUAAACCUUAGCAACAAGUAUCACAUUGAGGAUUUGUAUACUCAUUGCCACUUCCAGAACUUUUUUCCUCACUGGGAUACAGUUCUAGACAUCUUCUGUAGGUUUGGGGGUAAGGAGAGAUUUUUUGUCUUAAAAUACAUUAAAGAUCAAUUAAAAUUAAAAAUUGAUCAUAUUUGCCAAAUCAUUCCCUUUAAAUAUAUUUAUUAUUUUGUAUUAAGCAAUAAUACUCACCAGUUAGUCUGUGGAUCUCAAAAGUCUAUCAUGAAUGUGUACUAACACUAGUACAGUGAGUAAACUAUGACAUGUCAUUUUUAAUAUUGUGCUGAAAAAUGCUGAGCAUCAGUUUGAUCUCUCACUAACAGACCUCACUUUUAAAAUGUCAUGGAUUCAGAGUUAAUGGGAGGAAUAAUUAAAUAUCCUUUGUGUGGUGGUAGUUGAAAUGGUAAGAAGCCACCAGUGAGCUGUGUGGGGAGGCGAGUUAGAAUUUUUACACUGUACCUGAUAGAGGGAAGUUUGCACUGAAUGUGUGUGUGCAGCUCUAUUUUUUUGCCCAUUUUUAAGGCAGAAAAUGAAAGCCCCUGGAAGAUGAGAGAAGUUAUCCAUAGUGUUGCAAAGGAUUCUCUCCCCAGGAGAAAUGGGGGUCUUCCCAUUGUAAGAAGACUAUUUUACAGCAACGAAAUACUUGGAUUGAACAAUCAGUUGCUGCAGCUAAAGGAGUCAACUAAUUCCAGUAUUGGCUAAGCAUCUUCUCAUAAAAGUGUGUCCAAGAACACAGUGCCUGCAUUGAUCAGAUUUGAAUAGCCUAAUCUUCAGAUGACUGAGUAAAAAAACAAUUAAUAAGCCCCCUUUAUGUUGAGGAGGAUGGGAUUAGAAUGGAUGCAAACUACUCAUGAGACCUUGCUCCCUACUAAGAGGAAAUUGUCAAAAAUCCAGAUGGUCUAAUAAACAUUUCCAAAACAG
Long non-coding RNA from Pezoporus occidentalis (night parrot), 1252 nucleotides. RefSeq lists it as uncharacterized. The transcript has 2 exons. NCBI's taxonomy places the organism in Eukaryota, Metazoa, Chordata, Aves, Psittaciformes, Psittacidae. The record is from RefSeq and is a predicted model, not a curated record.